CUAAGAAUCUUGCGCAAUGGGCGAAAGCCUGACGCAGCAAUUCCGCGUGGGGGACGAAGGCCCUUGGGUCGUAAACCCCUUUUGUGAGGGAAGAAGUUCUGACGGUACCUCACGAAUAAGACACGGCUAACUACGUGCCAGCAGCCGCGGUAAUACGUAGGUGGCAAGCGUUGUCCGGAUUUACUGGGUGUAAAGGGUAUGUAGGCGGCCCUUCAAGUCGCGUGUCAAAGUCCAGUGCUCAACGCUGGGUGUGCGCGCGAUACUGACGGGCUUGAGGGCUGGAGAGGUGAGCGGAAUUCCCGGUGUAGUGGUAAAAUACGUAGAGAUCGGGAGGAACACCAGCGGCGCAGGCGGCUCACUAGACAGUUUCUGACGCUAAGAUACGAAAGCGUGGGGAGCAAACA
Molecule: ribosomal RNA, 404 nt
Filed under: uncultured bacterium
Lineage: Bacteria
Description: bacterial SSU rRNA
Rfam family: Bacterial small subunit ribosomal RNA
Source: RNAcentral